RNAcentral lists this transfer RNA (73 nucleotides) under Pollicipes pollicipes. Its description in RNAcentral is "tRNA-Ala". It matches the Rfam family "tRNA". From Rfam's summary of the family: Transfer RNA (tRNA) molecules are approximately 80 nucleotides in length. Their secondary structure includes four short double-helical elements and three loops (D, anti-codon, and T loops). Further hydrogen bonds mediate the characteristic L-shaped molecular structure. tRNAs have two regions of fundamental functional importance: the anti-codon, which is responsible for specific mRNA codon recognition, and the 3' end, to which the tRNAs corresponding amino acid is attached (by aminoacyl-tRNA synthetases). tRNAs cope with the degeneracy of the genetic code in two manners: having more than one tRNA (with a specific anti-codon) for a particular amino acid; and 'wobble' base-pairing, i.e. permitting non-standard base-pairing at the 3rd anti-codon position. The record is from RNAcentral. Lineage: Eukaryota; Metazoa; Arthropoda; Thecostraca; Pollicipedomorpha; Pollicipedidae.
GGGGCUGUAGCUCAGGUGGUAGAGCGCUCGCCUGGCAUGUGAGAGGUGCGGGGAUUGAUACCCCGCAGCUCCA